UGGAAUCAAGGUUUUUGAUUAUGGUUUAGAUAGUUCUUCCGUAGAAAAAACAAAUGAUCAAGAGUCCUAUUCUAGAACAGAUACUGAAAUUGAUGGAGUGGAGGGUAAUAAUGAACCUAUGGCAGUCCAACUCCAAGAAAAUGCAGAAGUACAACCUACAGAAGUAGUGGAGGGUAAUAAUGAACCUAUGGCAGUCCAACCCCAAGAAGAUGCAGAAGUGCAACCUACUGAGGUACCUGUUUUGUCUGAGAGUCAUCAGUCUGAGGUUAACUUGGGAUCUCGUGAUAUUGAUGCUCAUGGGCACAU
Molecule: long non-coding RNA, 306 nt
Filed under: Glycine max (soybean)
Lineage: Eukaryota; Viridiplantae; Streptophyta; Magnoliopsida; Fabales; Fabaceae
Description: long non-coding RNA (GMAX_LNC002080)
Source: RNAcentral